Molecule: long non-coding RNA, 1448 nt
Organism: Mercurialis annua (annual mercury)
Lineage: Eukaryota; Viridiplantae; Streptophyta; Magnoliopsida; Malpighiales; Euphorbiaceae
Exons: 10
Source: RefSeq, a predicted model, not a curated record
AAUUAGAUAAUCAAAAUUUUCUAUCGACUCUCUAUUGCGUCUCUCUUGUGCAACACUAUCUUUUCUAGGGUUUAAUCAAAAACUCUCUCAUUUUCUCAAACAAAUCGCUCUAAAAAUCUCUCUCUCUCAAGUAAAACUCUCACUGAUGUCUCUAUUUUUAUUAUCCUUGUUCUCACUCGCAAUAAUUUUGUACUCUCUAACCUGGAUUUACCUUUUGUUUUGUUUUAGAUGCGUUGAUUUUUACAUGAAUUCUCUCGCAAGUAAUGGACACUGGCAUAACAUAUCACUAACUUAAAGAAGAGUUGUCUUGUGCAACUUGUUUGGAGAUUUGCUUUGAACCUUGCACCACUUCUUGUGGACCAAGUUUCCGUAAGAAAUGCUUAAGAUCUGCCACUAAUAAAUGCGGGAAGAAAUGUCCAAAAUGCAAACAACUAAUAAGCAAUGGAAGAUCUUGCGCUGUGAAUACGGCUCUUUGGAAUACAAUGCGACUUUUGUUUCCGUAAGAAGUUGAGGCAAGGAAGGCGGUCACCAGCUGUAGAGCGCAAAACGCCCUUAUACAGUUUCAAGGAUCAAGCAGAAAUGAGUCUGCAAGGAGAAGCGGUCUACGUAGUCAAGACGAUCAUUCUGCAUCAGCUGUUUCUGUUACUAUUUAAAGAGUCAUUUACAGAAGUACAGGCUGGGUAAGAAUCAGCUUCUGCAAUCAGAAUCACAAUUUCAAUCACAAGGCAGCAUUGAGAAUAAGCAAGAAGGUACGUGAUUUGAUUAUUGGGAAACGGAAAGAAAGAUAAACAAAGAGAACCGGGAGCUUCUCAGGUCGAAAUUAAAGCUUUGAAAACCAUAGAAGUUACAAAGGAUGAGGCUCUUGAAGAGGUAUUGGAAAACCAUAAACAAGAUAUUAGCUGCUCUGAUGCUAGAAGGAGAUGGAGAACUUUUCAGUAAGAGGUAAAACCUAGAUAGAGGACUUGCACUGUUGUGGCACUAGUUGCUUAUACAACAAGGUGACUAAAUAUUUAAUGCGAUCUCUUGAUGAUUUUAUAAUGGCCUAAAACAUAGUGGAUGUAGGAGGAAAUAUAUUAUACAUGUGAUUAUAGUUGGCAAGUUGAAGAUAAUUUGAUGAUGGGUUGUACAGAAUGUUGAAUAUUUGAUUAGUUGGAUUGUGCUAAUUGCAGUGUCAUGUAAUUGCAAGUAUGCGGAUAUAUACAACUCUAAGGUCUUGAAUUUCCUAAACUAUACACCAUUCAUGUACCUCAAUUCGCAGGAAGAGACGUUGGCUCAAUUUUGAGCGACAGAUCCUCUAGUUAAGUACCCGUUCUUUGUACACAUUUAUCUUAUUAUGUAUUAUGUUUGCAUAUUUUGAGUAUCAUUGUAUGUGGUUUUGCAGGGUUUCAUGAAGAUAUUUGUGGAAAAUGAUUACGUAGCAGAAAAGGCGCUCAAUGUUUAGAAGUAUA